Molecule: ribosomal RNA, 253 nt
Filed under: uncultured bacterium
Lineage: Bacteria
Description: partial 16S ribosomal RNA
Rfam family: Bacterial small subunit ribosomal RNA
Source: RNAcentral
UACGUAGGGGGCUAGCGUUGUCCGGAAUCAUUGGGCGUAAAGAGCGUGUAGGCGGUUUGGUAGGUCCGUUGUGAAAACUCGAGGCUCAACCUCGAGACGCCGAUGGAAACCAUCAGACUAGAGUCCGGAAGAGGAGAGUGGAAUUCCUGGUGUAGCGGUGAAAUGCGCAGAUAUCAGGAGGAACACCGGUGGCGAAGGCGGGUCUCUGGGCCGAUAUUGACGCUGAGGAGCGAAAGUGUGGGGAGCGAACAGG